RNAcentral lists this transfer RNA (73 nucleotides) under Gemmatimonadota bacterium. RNAcentral describes it as "Gemmatimonadetes bacterium (sponge metagenome) tRNA-Ala". It matches the Rfam family "tRNA". From Rfam's summary of the family: Transfer RNA (tRNA) molecules are approximately 80 nucleotides in length. Their secondary structure includes four short double-helical elements and three loops (D, anti-codon, and T loops). Lineage: Bacteria; Pseudomonadati; Gemmatimonadota. The record is from RNAcentral.
GGGGCCGUAGCUCAGUCGGGAGAGCGCAGCGUUCGCAACGCUGAGGUCAGGGGUUCGAAUCCCCUCGGCUCCA